Long non-coding RNA from Nicotiana tabacum (common tobacco), 1776 nucleotides. RefSeq lists it as uncharacterized. The record is from RefSeq and is a predicted model, not a curated record. NCBI's taxonomy places the organism in Eukaryota, Viridiplantae, Streptophyta, Magnoliopsida, Solanales, Solanaceae.
GAAGAAUUUGAAACGAGACUUUCUUCACCGGGCAACUUAGUUACGGCCUUCUGCUGAUUGGUUAGCAAUUAAUCCAUAAACAUUCUCUUUGUACGCAAUGUUAGAACUCUGGCUAAGAAACAAAGUGCUGGUUAAUUCCCUUUUCUCAAGAUGCUUUUUAUUUUAUUUUAAUUGUGACAACUAGAAUGAUAAUUAUGAGAUUUUUUCAGGAAGUGCGCGCAAACGAUAUAGUAGUAUCCAAUGUGUCACACUAGCUUCCAACAGAGUUCAACAAAUUAUGAGUAAUUUUUUUUUUCUUUAAGAGCUAUAUGACUUAUCUAAAAGCUUCUUUUGUUGAUAAGGUAGGCUUGAAAUAGUGACCUUCCAUAUUUAAGAACAAUUCCUCAAUGUUUUGUUUAUCUUUGUGUUGCCAGCAAGCGAGACACAUAGUGAUAGCCGACAUGCCAAUGUUGGAACCUCCAUUAAAAUGGACAUAAACGCAGGAUACAGUAAUAUUGUACAUUUAUCUCUUUAGUUUUCUAUUUCCUAUUGUCUGUUUCUUUUACUUACAUAUAUUUAUAGGUAUCCUCUCUUUCUAUCUUCAAUUGUGAUGAGGACACAUGGAGCAAGAAAAAAAAGUGAAGCAGUGAAAAGAACCCCUAGAAAGCAGUUGCGAUCAGCUUCGCUCUUGAUACUCUGAGAUGUAGCAAAUGGUGAACAAAACAAGUGUAAUUUCUGUCAUUGACAAAAUAUGGGAUGGUGUCGGUCAUUUGCCGAUUGGGUUGUUCCUGAUGACAUUUGUUACUCUGUACUUCAACUAUCAUCUUAAGAUUCAUAAGUUUCUGUCAUUUGCAGGUCCUUUGUCAAAAGAGCCAGAUAUAGAGGAUGAUUCACUACUAACGAUGUGAAAUUGGAUAGGUAAAUCUGUCAAGAAGAGAAUAGAGAAACUUCUCACAACGAUUUGACAUCCAGCUCAAAAAUUCUUAUAGGUUCCAAUUGCUUCCCCGUUUUAUCUUUUAAGAUACUAAUGCUUCCAAUAACAUCUGAAAGCAUAUAUAGCAAAUUUUAUUGGGGCGAAGUUAUAAUCGCAAAUCAUAAAUUUUUUGAAUCUGUUGGAUUUUCAUUCUAAGGUUUUCUUCUCCAUGGUUGAACAAGUAGUGCAUAAAAUGAAAAAUAAAGAAGGUUUCUUCUGCCCGCACAACCUUGAUUAUCGUGGUCGUCCAUACUCCAUGCAUCCAAUUAAACUAUCUUGGUUCUAAAAACUGUCAGGGUGUCCUAGAGUUUGUAUAGGGCAGUCUGAAGAUAUAUUUAAAUUGGAAAUAUAUUUGUUGGUCAUGUGGACAAAUCAUUAAUUGAGGGUGAAAUAGUUUUUAUUGAAUGAUUUAAUUAUUUCUAUUGGAAAAAUUACUCGAAGGAAGGACUGGUGGUUUAAUGUAGAAGAUCCCUUACAACACCUUGCUGAUGCAUUUGUCUUAGGGAAGCUGUGAGAAGCUCAUCUCUAGAUACGACUAUUUCUCAUAUUUCAAUGCACCCGGUAGAGUCGUGCACAUUUUAAUUUUUUGCUGGUGUUCGACUCCCAUUUCAAAAUACAAGUUCUGAAAAGCAUGUCCGAAUGAUUAGAAGGGAGCACGUUAUCUUAUGUGGAAGUGGCUGACAUAUGUGGUUUCUAUUAAAUUAGUUUUUCAGCAUGAUUAUAUUAGCAAUAUUUUAGUCGGAGUUUACGUUCCUCACCAAUUGAUAGGCCAUGUAUUUCAAAAUUUUUGGGAUUGAAUCCAUGACAGCUAGCAGAUUUUUCUU